This 400-nucleotide ribosomal RNA is filed under the name uncultured bacterium. Its description in RNAcentral is "bacterial SSU rRNA". It matches the Rfam family "Bacterial small subunit ribosomal RNA", at positions 355 to 772 of the family's 1533-position model. The record is from RNAcentral.
UAGGGAAUAUUGCGCAAUGGGCGAAAGCCUGACGCAGCAACACCGCGUGUAGGAUGAAGGUUUUCGGAUCGUAAACUACUGUCGGCAGGGAAUAUAAUGACUGUACCUGCAAAGGAAGCAUCGGCUAACUACGUGCCAGCAGCCGCGGUAAUACGUAGGAUGCAAGCGUUGUCCGGAAUUAUUGGGCGUAAAGAGUUCGUAGGUGGUUAUCUAAGUCUGGUGUUAAAGCCCGGAGCUCAACUCCGGCAUGGCAUUGGAAACUGGAUGGCUAGAGUGUGGAAGAGGUAACUGGAAUUCCUGGUGUAGCGGUGAAAUGCGCAGAUAUCAGGAGGAACACCCGUGGCGAAAGCGAGUUACUGGUCCACUACUGACGCUGAGGAACGAAAGCCAGGGUAGCAAA